Molecule: ribosomal RNA, 560 nt
Filed under: uncultured bacterium
Lineage: Bacteria
Description: bacterial SSU rRNA
Rfam family: Bacterial small subunit ribosomal RNA
Source: RNAcentral
CUCAAAGGAAUUGACGGGGGCCCGCACAAGCGGUGGAGCAUGUGGUUUAAUUCGACGCAACGCGAAGAACCUUACCGGNGUUUGAACUGUGCAGGGAGUUUGCCAGAGAUGGAAGCGUCCUCUUCGGAGGUCUGUACAGAGGUGCUGCAUGGCUGUCGUCAGCUCGUGUCGUGAGAUGUUGGGUUAAGUCCCGCAACGAGCGCAACCCUUGUCUGUAGUUGCCAUCAGGUCAAGCUGGGCACCCUACGGAGACUGUCGGCGAAAAGCCGGAGGAAGGUGGGGAUGACGUCAAGUCCUCAUGGCCUUUAUGUCCCGGGCUACACACGUGCUACAAUGGGUGGUACAAAGAGCAGCCAACUCGCAAGAGUGAGCGAAUCUCAAAAAGCCAUCCUCAGUUCGGAUUGCAGUCUGCAACUCGACUGCAUGAAGGUGGAAUCGCUAGUAAUCGUGGAUCAGCAUGCCACGGUGAAUACGUUCCCGGGCCUUGUACACACCGCCCGUCACAUCACGAAAGUGGGCUGUACUAGAAGCCGCCGAGCUAACCUGCAAGGGAGGCAGGC